RNAcentral lists this long non-coding RNA (38746 nucleotides) under Olea europaea (common olive). RNAcentral's name for it is "long non-coding RNA (OEUR_LNC015162)". The record is from RNAcentral. Lineage: Eukaryota; Viridiplantae; Streptophyta; Magnoliopsida; Lamiales; Oleaceae.
AUGACUUCCAGGAACACACAUAUUUGUCACGUUUCCUUCACAAGAAACAUGUCCAGAGUUUAUUAGUAGAAUGUGGCACUACCAAAGGAUCGGGGGAUGGGGCUUCGAUGGCAAUCUCCAGGCAUGUCUCAGAUCAGAAGAGUUCAAAUCAGGAAGUUUGAGAGCCAUUAUAAGACAUACAAUCUCUGUACCCCUCAACAUAUUUGCCAAUCUUAGCUGAAUCUGGCUUGUCAUCAAUCUACAAUACAAAUGACAAUCUCAUUGCUAUAACAUUUGCAGAUCCUCUAAAAGUGUUUGGUUAUUCCUUUUGCAAAUUAGAUUUAAAUAAUAAUAAUGAUGAUAAUGAUAAUGAUGCAACUAAAACCCAAUUCUAUAUUGCUAGCAGUGUGACGAGCGUGUUUGGCAAAGCUUGACAUAAGUAAAAAUUACAUUUAAGUAAAUAUUUGUUAUUCAACGUGUUAGGAUAAGUUACUUUUCGUCCAUUAUAGUGCUUGUUAUAUGAAGUUCAUAAUGGAGCAAGUGUGACCAAAUCUAAACAUCAAAACCACAAAAAAUAAAAAUCUAAUUAUGCAUUGAGAAAAAAGAUCCAUUCAAGUCAAGUUUAGGUUUUUAGCUUGAAUCACAAAGGGUUGAGAGUACUAAGUUUCACCAAGAAAGCAUUUAUAAUUACAUAAAACCAUAUAGAAAUUGUAUUAAAGAAUAAAAAAUAAAAAUAAAAAAAUUGCUAAACCACAAGCAUUAUAUCAAGUGCAGUACUGGUUUCAAGCUUUGACAAUACUCAUUUAUGAAAAUUGUGCACGUACCAAAAUUUUCGAAGAAAAUAUAAAUUUGUCUGCAACCCACAGUCAAUAAAUUUCCACAAUCACGCCAAAAUUACACAAUUUUAAGCACAUAUUUACAAAAAGUUAGCAGGCAAACAAAAAUUGAUUCAAUAUAAACACACAGACUGCAAUAAGCACAUACAAGAAGAAAGAAAAAGGGGAUCCUGGUUGGUCAUCCCAGCAAAGGCUGUUCAAUUUCUUCAUUUUCCACUCAUCUUGCCACGAAUAGCCCAAAUAUUUCACUGCAAAAUUCCAUAUUUAAUAUUAUUUAUACAAACAUGCAUAUAUUCCAUGUAGUAAUCAUUAAUCAUUUUAACUUGAGAACUACUCCAAAAUAAUAAGAUGAAAUGAUGAGUUCAAUGCGGUACAGAAACUAAAAGAAAAAGGAACAAACUAGUUAUGAAAACUGCUUUGAUUUGGACAAUGGUGGAUUCCAUGGAGCCUUUUCUUGGCUCUUGACAAGAAUAAUACCUUUAAUUUUCAGCUCACCACUUCAAUUUUUCUCUUUGUUAUGGUGCCCAUAUAAAUAAAAAUUUUGCUAAGUGUAUGGGAAAAUGGUUUAUAGAAUUUUUAUAGUUGUCUGGUUGUUGCUAGGGAGACAACUGUAAAGAUUCUGUCAACCAAUCCCCAUAUCUGUAGUAACUAGCAAGGUUCAAUAAAUAAUGAUAUUACUCAAAACAUAAAGAAAAAAAUAAAAUUUAAUAUUUAAUUUUGACUUUAACUUUUUAAUAAUCUAAUUAGCUCUCCCAAACAAGCACUUUAACUCAAAGUUAAGGGACGGAAAAAAAUUGGGGACAAAUUGCUACAAGAGUGUCUUAAGUCAUGGACAAUAAUGGAAUCGUACUUUUUUCUUAUGGGAUUUAAAUUAAGUUAUAAUUUUAUUUUUGAAAAGGCUAUAGUUCGAUCCAAACAACACUUAGAGGGGGGAUGAAUAGGUGUUUAUGCGAAAUUUAACAAUUUAACAGAAAGCAGUAAAAACGUAACAAAAUGUUGACGGAGAAAACCCAAUUGGAUAAAAACUCCGAGCACAACUCAGUAGAGAUCCACUAUAGAAGAUAUUGACUUACAGUACGCCAGACAUAAUUGAAUCUAACAAUAUUCUGAUCUCCUUACUGUGUCAACCAAAGCUCUCCUGGAUUUUUCAGAUCUGUGCCAAAAUUCCAGCCUUGAAUUUUUUCUAUCUCCCGUGAAUCACCGAGCAUUCCAGUUCUUCAAGCAGUUUCCUUUUCGGAUCUUCAAACAGAUGAUCUUCUGGAAGUUGAUAUGGAGAUUUGAAUGGUGUUUUGGUUUUGUGAAGGUUGAUGUUUUUCUCUAAUAGAGCAUAAGAUCAAAAGAAAGAAUUUUUGACUCUAGAUCCUUUGGUUGUAGAGAGAAAAAAAUUAUUUGUGUGUUUUCCAAAGGUUAUAAAUGAAAAACGAAAUUUUUGUUUAUAUAGUAGAUCGUUUUUGGUAGUAUGGAGCGUUUAAAAUUCGCGAGAAAGGAAAAUUACCAAAAAUCAGAUAGCACUGUCGCUCGAACAAAGUGCUGGCGAAACUCUAGCGACCCCUCAGCGAAACUCUAGCGACAACAGUUAUGUUAUUUAGGAUUGAACGAGGUCAGGGCGAAACUCUAGCGAGAUUAACGCGCCGUUUGCAUCUUCAAAGCAUCCAACUUUACCCUAAACCUAUGCUAUAAACUUUGCAAAAUUGCAACACAAGUCCCUGAACUUUUUGGACCUUUACAAUUUAGUCCUUGACUUUACAAACUUGACAAAUUGGUCCUUUGGUCACAGAUUGCCAAUUACAACAUUUUCCUAACAAUUUUUAUUUUUAUUUUUUUUUUCAAAAGAUCGAACCUUAAUUAAUUUCCUUGUUUUUGAGGUCUUAGUUAUCUUGUGUGUUAGGUCCUAAAGCAAAUGCAGAGGGUUCAUUCAAAUUGUUGAAGGUAGAUGGUAUUAAUCAUACACCUCAUGUUGAGAAAAAGUUAAAAUUGUAAACAAAAUUAGAAAAUUCUAUGGAGUCAAUGGCCCGAUUCCGCCAUUGGUUACGGGAGGAGGGUCGUUAUCAACCCAACAUUAAAAUUUCUUUGAUACACUUGAAAAUUAUGGUGUUUUUAGAUCCGUCAUUGUUUAGGUUACUCUCUAACUUUAUUAAUCGAUUUUAACUCAAUCAAUAGUUCAAUACUAGAGUUAUUAUAGUAUUUUUCUUGUGAUGUUCAUUAUUAUCUCUUGUUAUAAAAAUGAAAAAACCCACGUCACUAACACUGUCCAUACUAACCAUGCUACAUUUACAUUCUCAUUUAUACUUUCAUUUACACUUUUUCAUAAGGCAAUAUCUAUGCUCUUGAUUUUACACUCAUUUUUUACACCACUGCAUAAAUUUCUACCACAUAGGAAGAAAUGUCAUUCAAAUGAUAUACAUAUAACGUUAUUCCUGCCCAUGUAGCAAUAAUCAUGACAACUUGAGCUUGUCAGAAGAGUUCAAAUAUUUCCCUGGUGACUCAAAAGUUCAUAUCGCAUCAGACUGUAGGAAUCAGACACGUUAAAGUCGCGUGAAUGAUUUGUCUAUAAGCGUGUUUCAGUAUGGUUGGUUUAGGUUGAACACGUUACCUACUUGUCAUUGACAGUGCGCCUUCAAAUUCUUCAUCCAUAAGUUAUUAAUUUGAUAUGACAAUUAUACCCGUUUAGGGAGGAGAGACGAUUUAGUUUGGGGCUAAUUUAAGGAUUUUACCAAUUUAUCUGUUGAUGUGAGGUAUUGAUCUGAUUGAAAUGUGGGGCUUUUCAGACAAAAGCAGAGAAAAGUAGUUGCCUAUUUUAGAAUAAUUUAUGCAAAGUUAGAGGCAAGACUCUUACUAAAUACUAGGUAGGUGUCUGUAAAUCCUAAUCAGAUUGGACCCAUUGAAGUUACCCUGCAAAGUAUCCAAAGAUCACUAGCUUGAAUUUAUUGACACUGAGCCAACAUUUUCAAAUAUAUGAUUGAAAAUGGGUUAAAUCCAUAUAACUAUCUAAUUUUAUAUUUAAUAUCAUCACGAUUAUUUACUUUGAUCUUAUUUCAUCAAGAUUAUCAAAAUUUAUACUUAAUGUCGUCAUCGCAACCCAUUUUAUUUCAUUUUACCAUGACUACUUAAUUUCAUGUAACAUUUCAUCGUGACCAUCCAAUUUUCUUUUACCAUUUUAACUAAUUUUAAAAGGGUAAAUUUGUAAUUUUGAAAAACAAAUUUUUUUAUUUUUAAAAACAAUUUUUUUGAAUAAGUUUUUCUUUUAUUUUAUUUUUCUAAGUAAUGCUCUUUUAAAAUAAUUUUUUAUUUUAUUUUAAAUUUUUUAAAAUAAUUUUUUCUUUAUUUUAUUUUUAAGGAACUUUUUUUUUAAAGUUUAAUUUUAUUUUAUUUUUCUAAGCAACAUUUUUUUAAGUAAGUUUCUAUUUUAUUUUAAAAACUUUUUUUUUAAAAUGAGUUUUCGUUUUUUUAAAGUAACAUUUUUUAAAUAAAAUUUAAUUUUAUUUCAUAUUUUUAAAUUUAUUUUAUAUAUAAAAAUGCAAAGUUACCGUUUUACCCUUUUUAAAAUUAAUGAAAAUGGUGAAAAGAAGGUGGACGGUCAUGGUAAAACGUUAUAUGAAAAUAGGUGGCCCUAGUAACAUUAAGAGGGUGUUUGACGCCCAUUUUUAAGGAAAAAUGGAUUUUGGAAUAGUAAAUUGAUGGAGAAUGUGUAGAUAAAAACUUUUUUUAUUUGUAUAACAUUAUUUUAAUGAAAAAUGUGUAGUUAAAAAUAAGAGAGAAAAAAUGUAUUUUGACAAAAAUGGGAAUCAAACGGGGCUUAAGUAUAAAAUUGGGUGGUCAUGUUGAAAUAAAAUCAAAUUGAAUGGUUUUGAUGACACAAAGUAUAAAGUUGGGUUGUCAUUGGUGGAUUUAACCUGAUUAAAAAUUGAUAGGUAUUGCAAAAAUGUUGUUAAUAUUAAUUUUUAAUUUUAAUUUAAUUAAAGUUAAUUAUUAACUUUAAUUUAAAAUUAAAAUUUUAUUCCCUAUUGAACAUGAGCUAAAUGUAUAUAUUAAAAAAUUCAAAAUAAUUUGAAAAUGUGCCAAAGCGGUCGCCUCUAUUGCCACCUAUGUAGCCCUAGGACUAAGAAUAUAAUUGUAUGGGCUGUAUAAGCAGAAUAAUCUUAAUUGUGUUGCCGAUCUUUCAUAAUGAAUUAAAACUAGCACAAAAGGAUAGGUGCAUGUUUGAGCCUCAUUUUUUGCGAAGAAUAUAUUUUAAAAUAGUAGAUUGAUGAAAAUGUGCAAUUAAAAAAUAAAGAAAAAUUUUGAGUUUAUGUGUAAUAUUAUUUUAUUGAAAAAUAUGUGAUUUAAAAUAAAAAGAAAAAUGUAAUUUGAAAAUAAUGUGGAUAAAAAAAGAUGACCAGAACAAUAUGUUAAAGGUUACUAUUUAAAAAGAAAAAAAAGGAAAAAAAAGCAUGUGAACUGAAAACUUAAACAUAAUUAUAAUUUAUUUUUAUAUUAAAGUUUUACGUAAAUAAUAUUAUUUAGCCCCCUGUUUGGAGCAGAUUAUUUUUAGUUUAAAGAGUUUUUAAUAUUAUUUUUUAAGAGAAUGUGUAGUUAAAAACGUGGAAAUGUUUUAAAUUUAUGUGUAGAAUAUUUCAUUGUGUAAAUGUGAUGUUAAAAAUGAUUCUGUAAAACAAGAGUUUUAAAAUAAUUGGAAUCAAACAGGAGCUUAAUAUUACUUCAAACUCUAAUCACUCAUUAAUUUAUUAUUAUUAUUAUUAUUAUUAUUGUUGUUGUUGUUGUUGUUGUUGUCGUCGUCGUCGUCGUAAUAUGUGAGUUCAGGAGUGCAAUUAAAGCUAGCAACAAAAUGAUGGUGAAAUGAAAACUAAUAGAGAACUGGAGGAUUUCUGUCCUCUAGAAUUGAUUGUAUAACUACUACAGAAGUUGAAAUUUAAUUAUUUUUAGGUUUUAGAAGAAGUUACUUGUUUUCUUCUCGGAACUAAUUUGUUAGUGAGAUAAUAGGCUAGGGACCAACUAUGCAAUUUUUGCUUUGCCUUAUAUAAACUCUUUGUUUUACACAAAUCAACAUAUCAAGAUCAUCAACUCUUUAAGUCCAACCUCCAUUUUAUUCUAUAAGUCUACAUGGUGGUUGAUCCUCAUUGAAAAUUUUCAUCCAACUAACAAUGACACAACUCUCACAUUUCUUUUGGAAUGAUGCUAUAGAUAAAUACUUAGCUUCUUUGAUGUAAAUAUUAUAAAAUAAAUUUUAUAAAAAGUAAUUUUCUUUUUGAAAAUUGUGUGAUAAAAAAUAAGAAAAAGUUAUUGAUCAAAGUGCAAAAUUAUUUUAUUAAGAAAAUAUGUUGUUGACAGUAAGUUUUGAAGAAAAAACUAUGAAAAAUCUUUACCAAACAUGUACUUAGCUGUGUUAGGCUCAUGUUCAUAAAUUGUUUAUCAAUUAUCGAGUCACUUUUUAUUCGUAUAUUUUGAGAGAUUCACAAGUAUUAUUCACUUAUCUAUUAAUAAUUUUAUCCACUAAUAUUACAAUCCUCCAUUUGCUAUAUGGCUUGGGGAUUAGUAACAAGGGAAAUCCAGGGUAAUGUGGCAUUAAAAAAAUUUCAAAUGACAAAACGAAUAGAGAGAGAAGAAAAGGGUAAAAAAAAAAAAAAGCUUCUGUAUAAAAUAUCCCCAAAAUUUCAACAAAAUCCACUCGCAACUGAAACGCUCGUCCGUUCACUUGAAGGCUACGGCCGGUCACCUUGCCAUCUCUAACCACUCACCAUCUCUGUUCACCGCCAGAACUCAAUUUUUGAAAAUCAUUCCGAUUUCAUUUCCAUAUUUUCCACAAAUUUCAAACCCCCCACAACGGUGGUAUGUGAACGACAUCAUUUCCCGAAGUCAUCAUCGUGAUUUAAUUUCGACACUCGUCUAUAAAUUUAUUCCCAUUUCUUUGUUGUGCUCCGAUUGAGAAGGGGCUGCCAACGAUUCUCAUUUUGUCCAGUAGCCCACAGUGAUUAUCCCACAUGUGUGUUUGGGGUUAGUUUAAUGAUUUUAUGGAAGGUUUUUUUUUUUUUUUGGAGUGUUGUUGUUGUUUCACAAUUACUUCUAGUUUGAAUAUGUAGUAUGUAGUGUUUGUUUGUUGAUGGUCAGCGCUGUGUGUUGUAAUUAUACUAUUGCUGCAUUUUGUAGUUUCCUCUUUCUAGCUUUCGAAUUUCCUUUAUUUGUAGGUUAGAAUGGUUGGAAAGAACUCUGGAAUCUGUCAUAGUUGUAGAGCUAAGACCCACUUCUUCAAUGACUGCCCAAGGAAACCCCCAUGCUCAUCAUGUAAGUGUGGACUUGAAAAUUGUUUCGUGGUGGAGAAGGAGACUGUCAAUAAAGGAAAAUUAUUCAUUUUCUACAGUGACAAAUUGUGGAUUUUUGGAGUGGGUUGUCAAAGAAAAACCAAGCGGUGCAUCUAGUAGGGCUACACUAAAUUCGUCACCCCUAUGACAAGUGAAACAGUAGAUGAAAUAUCCCGUAGUCUUGAAUCUCAAAUUCAGCUAACUGGGCAAGAUGAGCUGAAGAUUUCGGUGGAUGUUACAGUCCAAAUGGACAAAGUGAGUGCAGUACAGAAUGCCAAAGGAAAGCUGCUGAAUUGAUUAGUAGAUAGUGUUGAAACUACCGUAGUUAAUUCACAAACUAUAUCUAUGUAUGGAGCUUCAAUUUUCACCCUUUUGUUGUAAAAUCCAUGGUUAUAUCGAAUGCAGUGGCGAGUUGUCGAUUUUUUGAACUUUUAAAAUUGAACCUGUGAUAGACUCUUGUGUUUGUAUAUUGCUUUCAAAUGGCAUUUCAAGUCUCAACUGGUGCAACUGUCAUUGUGUUGGCCCAUUUAGUUAGUCAAAAUAGAAUAUUGCGUAAAUAAUUUAUUGGUGAGCAGGGAUAGAAAUUUGACCAAGAUUAAACUAGAGUAGUGAGCUCAUAUUGACGACAACUAUCAUUGCCUAACUAAGAGAACUAUACAAUAUAAAGAUUGACCUAAAAUAGCUCAAAACAAACACAAAAUACUUUAUAAAGCACUAAUUUGUUCAGCAAAAGGAAUUGGUGAAUUAGUGGAAGUGUGUUUAACACCUGAAAGAAAGAGGACAGCUAUACAGCUUAGAAGUCAUGAAUAAACCUCACAAAACAAGAAUUCAUUGUUUAAUCACAAAACUUUGUAUUUCAAGCAAAUUCAAUAAGGUUGCUCUAGCAACUAUAUAGAGCAUGAACACUAUCAAGGUUUACUAGUGGUUCAACUUCAAUUAAACAUUAGUCGCAAGCAAUAAGUGCAAACAUCAGUACCCAAGGAUAUCUUUCAGCUUCACUUCAAUUUGUUAGCUGGAAUGCUUCAUGCCUUUUCAAUUCAUAGCCGAAAUUGAUAAACAUGUUGAAGCCUUUCAAGUGCUUUUGUUGGUGCCCAGAACUAUCACAGUAACUGUAACUACCCGCAUGAACACCCAUCAACUGCUCCAUGCUGAAACAUAGAAAAAACAGAAGAGUUGAAUCACAAAAGAAAAAGAGGAAUCACAAAGCUUGUUUAUGAUUUCGUAAACAUUUGAAUAAUUGCAAAUACAAGGUCAUGCAAACAAAAACCGAUACUGAUGUGUUGAACAAAUAGAAUGGCAAACUAUAACAAUCUGCCACAUAAUAUAAUUGAACUUUACUAGAUGUACAUCCAACUUCAAAAGCCAAAGCGACCUUGGUCGCGUAGGUUUGGAUUCCAGUAUGUCAUUGGUAGACCUACAUUAGACUUUGACAUGAGAUAGGAUUUUAGAGGUGUUGAAAUGAUAGAUUGAAUUUGAAGUUCAUGUAGCGACCCAUGUGAAUACCUUGCGAACUAUAUAUAACAUUUGCGGAGGCUAAAGGGAUGACAUUUGAACCUUGUGUAGGGAUGGCAUACUGUGAAAGUGGGAAUGGUGACGAUGUGGAAUAAGCUUGCUGCUUAGCUGGCUCAACCCUGAUUGUGCCCUCCUACAUAUUAUUCUACCUCGAUUUAGGUCUCUUUCCUUUUAUCGAUGUCAAAUUGGCCUGUACAUGUAUGAAAAAAUUCAGCUUAUAUAUACUUCACAAUGAUUAUAGAUUAGAGGCAAACAUUUUAACAUAUCUUCGAUUUCUUCGAAGUUAGCUCCAAUGGGCUUUUCCUCCGUAGUUUCUUCAACGCACCCUUCCUACGAGUACAUGUGGGAUCCAGUAUGCUCCACCUCGAUAUAUGUUGUAAAUGAGUACAAUGAUUCGGUAUUUGAGAAGCAUGCGCCAAAAUUUGAUUUCUUUCACCACUCGAGUUUGCGCUAAUAAGUAGACGAGAAUAGUUUUGUUUCCAAUCCAUUGUCGAACGUAACCACCGUUCACCAUCUGUAGCAAGGUCAGCCACCUGUGCAAAAGUUUGACAUAUCUCAUCAUAUCUCAACUAUCCAGUAGUGGUAACUAAUCCAUCUUAGUUCACAGCGACCCUCGUGUGUGCUUUGCUAAUGUUUCUCUGCCAUCUCCGCAGUAUGUACCUCUUCAAUAGACAUGUCACAUCAUUAUGGAUCUAUACUGCAAUCGCAUCCCUAUAUAUUAUUCUUCGAAACUCGAACAAGUGACUGCUGCAAAUGAUAGCACACGUCUCCCUUCGAAAUGAGACAAAGAAUAUUUUUUUUCCUCGGACCGCACUCAAAAUUAAUAACUUUGCUGACCUCAUAUGUUGACCACAAGCAUCUCUUAGUAGUGGAUAUGAUAUCAUAAUAAACUUUCCCCGUGAACUCCGCCUGAAUCUCCCUGAAUUUAGAAAUUGUAUACACUGUCUCAAAUUACUUUUUCCAUUUCAAACUGUGUUGCACAAUGUACCAUUUGAGAGAAUGAAUUGAAAUCAGCCUUGAAUUCCUUCUCGACCUUAUUACUUAGCGUGUGUUCAUAUUGUUCGACAAAUUGCUUCAAAGAUGUCUUUGAAUGUAUAUUCUCACUUCUUUGUGUUGUUGACAUCCCAGCCUAAAAAAUAGUUUUCAAAAAGUGCGGAACCCAACGAUCUCUGUUGUCGUAUAACUCAGACAACCAAUCAUUAUCCUGUAAGCUUAACCUAUUAACCAUCGCUUUCCAAUCGUCUUCAAAUGCUUGAAAAAACUGCGAGUCAUAUACCAAAUUGUGUUUGGCCACGAAUAUUGAACUCUUAUCCGUGUGAUAACCAAACUUUUCUAGCAGUUUUUUCAUAAUAUGCCACAAACACCGUCUAUGCUUCGUAUUUGGAAAAACUAUCCAAAUGGCAUUUUGCAUGACCCUAUCUUAAUCUAUAAUUAUUCCUUAUGGAGCUCGACCCUAUAUACAUUGAAGUCACGUCCUGAACAACCAGACAAAACUGUUUGUGUCUUCAUUUGAUAAUAUACCACAACCGAGAAGCUUUGAUUUUCCAUGGUGAUUCACGCCGACAAAAAGGGCAAAUAGCAUAUCAUACUUAUUGGUGAGAUAAAUGGUAGCAAAUGUAACGACAUCUCCAAACUCCUUAUAUGAUUGGCUACAUUGCUUAUCUGCCCAAAAUACAUUUUUUUGGCCAUAAAUCGUAGUCCAAAUCCAUACUGAAAUAAAAGCCCGAGCAUUGUGCUUGCAUCUUUGCAAAAUAGGAUUGUAUUGCUACUGUGUCUCUUUGCCAUGUCUUGAUCGUUUCAAUUGUUCUAUAUAAUUCCGACAAUCCUUCUUAAUGCAAGUCAUGUUCUCAUAACCACCUGCUACUACAACGGCAAAGUUGUAACUUUUGUGCGACGGAAUUCCUGCCAAAUCUUUCAUUUCAAGCUUCCUUUUGACUUGUGUACUUAAUUCCCAAUUGGAUCGAUAUAACCUUAACUUUGACGAACUUAUUUCUUGAUUAUGGUCAAGGUAAACCACGUUAAUUCUCCAUGUUCCAUGGGUAUUUGAAAAUGCGGAUAUUCUGCCUUUACAACCCAUCCAAAUUGUUGGUUGUGGCUUCAAAGAAUCGCUAGUGUCGCUGCUCCUCCAACCUUCACGGCUACAAGUGAAAGUCACAUACCAUAAAACUUCAUCGUCCCCUUUUUUGAAUUUCUUUCUUCAUUGAAAAACCUACCGCAUAAGCAUACUUUUUGUAGAACUGAAAUAUCUCUUUCUCAUCUUCGAAUAUCAUACCAACCUUAGGUACAAUCACAUCAUCUCCCUUUGAUAUUAUUCCUUCCACCAUGUUCGCGAUUUUCGCAACAUUUUCAUUACAUAAUCAUACAUUUUUCUUUACGUUCUCAUUAUCAGAUUCUACUAGAACAUCACAGUGCUCGUCUUGCUCGUUGUCUAUAAUUUCUUCAGCUGUGAUAAAAACAUUGUUCACGUUUAGUAUGCUUUUAAUUCGUAUCGAGUAAUAAACUUUAUAUGUGAACAACUGAAGCCAGGCUGCAAAUAUAUAUAUAUAUAUAUAUAUAUANNNNNNNNNNNNNNNNNNNNNNNNNNNNNNNNNNNNNNNNNNNNNNNNNNNNNNNNNNNNNNNNNNNNNNNNNNNNNNNNNNNNNNNNNNNNNNNNNNNNNNNNNNNNNNNNNNNNNNNNNNNNNNNNNNNNNNNNNNNNNNNNNNNNNNNNNNNNNNNNNNNNNNNNNNNNNNNNNNNNNNNNNNNNNNNNNNNNNNNNNNNNNNNNNNNNNNNNNNNNNNUAUAUAUAUAUAUAUAUAUAUACACACACACACACACACACACACACACACACACACACACACACACACAACAUCAUAUUCAUGAAAAGCAAACUUUUACAUGUUCUUAUUUGCUAAAAUUCAUUAAACAUACUUUCAGAUGUGCAGCACACUCGCGAAAUUUUAUUUUACCAAUUGCAGUUGACUAUACAAAAAGACAAAAGUAGCUAAAUUUCAUUUUGAAGAGAAAACUCAUUAAGUCAAAGUUUAAAGACUAGGCAUAGAGCUGAAUUCUCAUAGUGGACAACAGCAAUAGUUGCCAAAUUUUACGCUAUAUAACAAACGACAGUGUACCACACAAAUUUACACAUAGAUUUGAGGAAAGUACUUCACUCUUUUUCGCAAAUAGCAGUUUGGUACAAGAGUGAUGAUAUCUUUAUGGAUUUGGGGAAAGUGGAGCUUCACUCUUUUUUACAAAUAGCAGUUUAUUAACUGCAUAGGAGUGACGAUAACUUCAGGGUUUUGGGAAAAAUAGAGCUUCACUAUUCUUUGUCUUCAAUGCAAGAAUGAGGCAUAAAUGGAGAAUGAGGGGUCAAUGAGCUCACGUAUCUUAGUCAGUAUUCGACGAGAUCGAAGUUAACUGUUGUUGGGCUUCAAUGGUCGGAACUCAGAGGUGUAUUUUCAAUCUAUUUGGGAGAGUAGCGUUUUGAAAUUCAUUCAGGCAAGUCAAACGGGUCGGAGUCAGUAAGAAUUUAAUUCGUGUUCCCAUCUUUCCUUCACUCCUAGAUUCCUCCUUUUUCCAACAAUGGCAUGUCGAUUGUUUUAAAAUCCUGUCACCAAAGAUUGUCACUGAACCUAUCCAUUUAGACUAAUUGUUAAAUUAUUUUAAAGAAUUUAAUUUAUUUUAUCAAAAUCCUUUAAAAUCUUCCCCUAUCCUAAAUCUAGCCUACCUAUGCCCUUCCUUCCCUAAGCCCCCUCUCUCGAUCGAUCUCUCUAUUGGGCCCAUUUGCAACCUUCAAUCCCAACAGUAAAAUCUUCUCCCAUUGCUUGCCUUUUUUCUACAUCAUUUUCAUUACAUCCUGUCCAUUUUUCUAUUCUCGAAAUUUUACAAAUUAAUUUGUUGAAGUUCCUGAAUACUAGUUUGGAUCUUCACUUUCUUUAUAUGAGUUUAAUGUUAACCCUUCAAGUAAAUUUAUUUGUACUCAUGACAUUUUGAAAUAAAAUAAUAAUUUAAUUUUCAAUAAAUUAUUUAUUUUAAUUUAAGUUUGUAUUUUGCUCAUAGAUCGACUUGAUAAUAUAAAUCCAGUGUUUAAGUUGUUAAACACAGAAAAAGAUUAAAUUUAUAAUUUGAUCUAAAUGGUCCACAAUCGAUAAAUUAAGACAAUCAAUUUAUAAUUUUCUCAAUUUUAUUUAAAGUUGAUCCUGAAUUUAGUAAUAAAAUUGAUUGUACAUUUUGGAAUGUAAUCGACUAGACCACGUGAAAUUGAUUUAUGGUAUUGACCCAUAUGAAUUUAAUUUCACUUGACUAUUGUACAUAGCCUUAAUUCUGAGCGGGUAAUGAAAUUUAAUUAAUAACAUGAAAUUCUUUGAGGUAUCGAUGAGUGAGAUGAGAUUGCAAAUCAAUAUUUUGGUGCCUUGGGAAUUAAAGUGAAUAAUUGGAGAACAUAUAUUCGCGAUAUGGAAUCCAUAACCUAUUCAAUAGGCAUGAUGUGGACCUCAAGAGAUUUUGCUAGUGGACAAUUAAAUUCUGAGCUCGAUAAUUUGACAUUAAUUGUUGAAUUAAUAGUAUGAUGUGAUCACAUGAAAUUAUCACAUAAAAAAAUAAGAUUUAGGACUUAAUGUCUAUUUGGGAAAAGGGUAUUUUGGUCAUUUUACCUUGUUCCAAAUGUCCAACAUGAUUAACGGGCGUAAUAUGUGCGAACAAUAUGUCAAAUUAUAUAAUUAUUCUAGCUUUAGUCAGUUUAAUGAAGUUAAGAAUGCAAUCUCAUUCUUUUAGUGGAAUAAAACGUGUUUAAUAAAUUAUCUAGACCGAUUAAGAGGUGAUCGAGUCAAGAUUAAUUUAUCAUAGCUUAAUUUAAUUGGGUAUGUUUGGUCCCUUCUUUGGCUUCAAAAUAAGAACCGAAAUUAAUUAUAAGAGUUAUAAUAUAUUAUUAUUAACUAUAGAAAGAUAAAUUAAUCAAAUCAAAAUGUGUCACACAUGUGCUGUGCAUGUCCAUUUAAGAUAUGGAAGACUUUGAUUUGGAUGAGAAUUAAAAGUGUUCUUUUUAUUUAGGAUGUUUACCCAAACAAAAGAAAGAGUUCUUUUGGGAUUGUAAUACUCCUCUCAUCAAAUUCAUAUCAUAAAGACACUCACAUUAUGUUUUAUUGAAUAAGCAAGAUCACGAUAAUUCUUGUCCCUACACACGAAAGAAAUCUUUGUAGUUUUGAGUUCUUGACCAAACGGUUUGACGGUGAAUCAAGAGGAUAAAAUAAAUAGACUUGACGAUGGAAUCAAGAAGAUCAAAGGAAUUUUUGUAAAGCACGGUACAAGGGUAAUUCUUAAAACACUUAUGUGUUUAUCAAUGUUUCAUAAUUAUUUUAUUCUUGUCGACACAAUAUUUAAUAAAUUCCUUAUAUUUUUCCAACACGUUCAACCUGGAUCUAUCAAACUAUUGGCUGCCCAGUGUCAUCAAUAGACCACCCGCAUGAUUGAAUUUAGAACUAAGAAGGUAAACCCACAUGUAUGAAUUAUAGAAAAAGAGUAUCUUAGAGGGCUAUGAUUUUGGCCAAGAUUUAAUGAUCUUGGAACAUAAUGAAAAUUUCUAUUGUGCUUAAAAGCACAUGAAAUUAAGUAAAAUGGAACAUAUGUAUUAAAUGCAAGGAAUUUUAAUCGAUCAUGUGGGCAUAUAUGUAUAAAUUAUUGUGUAUUAAAUUAAAAGCUAUCAAAUUUGGUUAGGCUCAGUUUAAAGUGAUUUAAUAAGAUUUCGAUAAUUUAAAGCAUGGGCUUUUAUGUGUAGAGAUCGGUCAUUGUUCCUAAUCCCAUGAUGAGCCGAAUUAGGUUAACAGGCAAUCAGUAUAUAAAUACAGUUAUGGUCCCCAAAUCACAGGGAUUGAUCAUUAUGUUCUGCCUCCCAUCACUAGAGAAAAAAGGAGCUACUUGUUGAUUUCAAAGACAUAACCGUAGGAUUCAAUCGUUGCAAUUAAUAAUGUCUAAUUCAGGUACGCUUCCGCUUUAGUUUAUGUGUUCUUAAUGAUCCAAAAUGAUAGAUUUGGCUAUUUUACGGUAAUAAUUUUUCCUACAAGUGGUAUUGGAGCCAACUUUCAUGUUGAAUCAUUGAGAAUUGAAUAUUUAUUUGGUUAUUGUGACAAUUUCAAUAUUUUCAAAUUUAACAAUUCCAGAUCUAUAUUUUGUUAAAUUUGAAAACUUUUACGGCAUGUUUUUUCUUGUUGUCUUCCAUAAUUUUUUUUUAAAGUUAAGGAAUUUUAGAUUACGAUUUUUUUAAGGUUAAAGUUUAAAAAAAGUCUUUCGAUGGCGCAGUACCGCUGUUGUGUGAUGCUGCGGGUGGUAAAGGAUCGUAGCGCGAUGGCCCGUGCAACAUCCGACCUAGCGCUGCCAAGGGGGAAGAAUGAAACUCUUUUUUUUUUAGGGUUUUCAGUUUGGGUGAAAUUUGGGGACGGGGGCCUCACUGAAAAUUGGUUUAUUUGAGGCACAUGUUUGCAAUUUCAUAUUAGGGUUAUAAUUUUAAAGUUUCAGUCCCUAAUGUUUAAAGUUCAUCCAAAUUGGGCUCUUAAGUUAUGGAUUUAAUAAUUCAGUCCCUAAAGUUUAAAAAAUUAAUUAAUUUGGGUUAUUAAAGUUCUGAAUUUUGUAAUUAAAGCCCUCAAAGUUUCUAAUUUCUUCACAUUGGCCCCUAAAGUUUUGAAUUUAUUAAUUUUUGCCCCUUAAAGUUUUGAAUUAUUAACUUUUAGGCCCCUAAAGUUUAAAACUAAAUAAAAUAUGCAAAAUUGGUGGUUUUCUUUCUCAAACUUUGGUACUAAGGACUCUUUCGAAAGGCAUAAUAUUCUAAAGUGAAUGAAUUAAGCAACAUGUUGCCAAAGUAACCUCUAUUGUGGAAAUUAAUUAACUUAUAAUAUUAAAAUGUGUUUGUGUGCAUUAUACGUGCAAAUAUUGAUUGGCCCAAAGGAAGAUCAAUAUUUUGCCGAAUUGUAUGUGCAUCAGUGGUGAUAAACAUGUGGCAAUUAUUUGGUUUAAUGUGUGAUUAAUAAAUCGUACCAAAGAAAUGUUUAUUGGUUGACAUAUUAUUUUAUCAUUAGUGUUUGAUCACUACACCAAGAUACCACUUACAAGUCAAUAUUUCUGUCCAAAUACUAGAUAUUGAUGUUGUGCUAGGUAUCUUGUGAUAGGUCAUACCAUUAUUUGAGAUUAUUAUUAUUUGCAAUUGAGGAUACUCGUGUGAGCCAUUCGUAUUAAUUGUUCUCUAAUUUAGUUUUAAGUUUUACUGCUAAUAUUUAUACUAGCAUUAAUUCAAUUCCAAUGUUUAAUGGUACAAACUUCAAGACGUGACAAGAGAACGUAAUGAUUGUUCUCAAAGUCAUGGACCUGGACAUUGCUUUAUGGGUCGAUCAACCUUCUUCACUUACUGAUAAAAGUAUCUCGGAUGACAACAAAGAGAUGGAAAAAUGGAAAAAGAUCAAAUCGCAUAAGCUUAAUGUCAUAAAGUAUUCUAUUCCAGAAACAUUCUGGGGCACUAUGUCCGAUAAGGUGACCACGGCUAAGAGUUUCUUUGAGGACCUUGAUAAGAAGUUUGCUAAGAAUGAAAAAGCUGAAACAAGUACAAUUUUAGCACAGGUUGUCUCAAUAAGGUAUAAAGGGAAAGGAAAUACAUGGGAAUGCAUUAUAGAAAUGUCUUAAAUUGUUUCAAAGCUAAAGGCACUCAAGUUGGAUUUAUUUGAAGACUUGUUAGUGCACUUAGUUCUGAUAUCCCUUUCGGCACAUUUCAGUCAAUUCAAGGUGAGCUACAACUAUUUAAAGGACUCAUGGUCCCUUAAUGAGCUUAACUCACACUGUGUCCAACAAAAAGAAAGAUUAAAACAUGACAAGACAUAAAGUGCUCAUUUAGCCACCACCUCCAAUGAUAAAAAAAAACAAGAAAAAAAAGAAAAUGAAGCUACGGGUACAACCUCACAAAAGAAACUGCAUAAGGAACCAAUUGAAGGUGAUUGUUUCUUCUAUGGAGCUAAAGGUCAUAAGAAGAACAACUAUUCCUACUAUCACGUAUGGUGUUUCAAGAAAGAUAUUUUUCUUCAUUUGGUUUGUUCUGAGGUUUAUUUAACUUUGGUACAUAGAUAUACAUAGUAGAUAGAUUCUGGUACAACAACUCACAUUAGUGUGUCUAUGCAAGGUUGUCUGAGUUGUCGAAAACCAAAAGAUGGUGAAAGAUACAUCUAUGUUGGCAAAGACAAGACGGUGGAAGUAGAGGCAAUAGGAAAAUUUAGGUAAUUGUUAAAGACUAUAUUUUAUUUAGAACUUAAUGAGACAUUUAUUAUACCUUCUUUUAGACGAAAUUUGAUUUCUAUUUCUACUUUAGAAAAUUUUGAUUAUUCUUGUUCAUUUGAGAAUGGAAAAUUUAGUUUGUUUAAUGAUUCGAAAUUGGUUGGCUUCAGCUCUUUAACGGGUUAUGAUAAUCUUUAUUUAAUUGAUACAAUUGCUUUUGUUAAUGAAUCAUUGCAUGCAAGUACUCAAGGUGUAAAGCGAAAAUUAAUCGACGAGAAUUCUGCCUCGUUGUGGCACAAGAGAUUAGGUCAUAUAUCCAAGAGAAGAAUUAUGAGACUUGUGUCUGACGGGAUUCUCGAUCCACUUGAAUUCACAAAUUAUAAUUUGUGUCUCAACUGUAUAAAAAGAAAAUAAACCAAUAAAAGGAGAUUUCAAGCCAAACGGGACCUUGGACUUCUUAGAACUUAUACAUACAGACAUUUAUAGACCAUUCCCUACAAGUUCUUAGAAUGGUCAACAAUAUUUUAUAACAUUCAUAGAUGAUUAAAAGUAUCAGAUCUGAUCGUGAGGUGAAUACUAUGGCCGAUAUAACGGUUCAGGUGAAAAACGUCCUGAACCAUUUGCUAAAUUCCUAAAGGAUGUGAUAUCAUCCCAUAGUACACUAUAUCGGGUUUGAACACUAUAAAUGGUGUUGUUGAGAUACAAAAUAGAAUGCUUAAGGACAUGGUGACAAGUAUGAUUAGUCAUUCUACCUUAUCAGAAUCUCUCUAGGGUGAAGUAUUAAAGACCGGAGCGUAUAUACUCAACAGAGUUCUAACUAAGGCCACUGAUAAAACCUCUAAUGAGCUUUUGACGAGCAAGAGGCCUAGUUUGAAGCACAUAUAGAUUUGGGGAUGUCCAGUUGAGGUAAGGCCCUAUAAGCCAAAUGAAAAGAAAUUGGACGCAAGACCAUCAAUUGCUAUUUAAUUGGAUAUUCUAAAAGGUUCAGGGAUUACAAGUUUUAUGAUCCACAAUUAAGGCAAUUUUCGAGACAGAAAAUGCUCGAUUAUUUGAGGAUAUUGAAUUUGCAGGGGGAGAAAGGGUUGCAAGCUUUGUCUUUGAUAAGGACUAUGUUGAAAUUCCUUCAAUUACUAUUGACAAUGAUCAUAUUUCUAUCCCUGACAUUUUUUAAGAAGCAACUCAGGAUCAAGAUAAUGUCAUUGUAUCUAUCUCUCAAAGUCAACAAAUUGUUCCAAAAAAAAAAACAAACUUUACAACCUUAAGAACUGCAUAAGAAGAUCCAUUAGAGAGAGAAGAAGUGCGGUUUCAGAUGAUUACAUCCUAUUUCUCCUAGAACAUGAAGUUGACAUUGGAGUGGUGGAAGAUGAUUUGAUCAACCUCUGUUAAGCCAUGAAAAGUUCUAAUUCUCAAAGUGGCUCGAUGCCAUAAAUGAAGAGAUAAAGUCCAUGAAGGACAAUGAUGUAUGGGACCUCGUUCCAUUGCCUGAAAGUGCAAAUCCCGUUGGUUUCAAUUAGAUAUUUAAGAUCAAGAAGGAUUCGAAGGAUGAUGUAGAGAGGUAUAAGGCUAGUAUUGUAGCAAAGGGCCUUACACAGAAAGAAGACAUCCAUUAUAAAGAGACAUUCUCUCCGAUUUCUUCAAAACACUCGUUUGGGACUAUAAUGGCAUUGAUACCGCAUUUCGAUCUUGAGUUACAUCAAAUGGAUGUUAAGAUAGCGUUUUUCAGUACAUUUAUCAAACAAUUUAUAUGGUACAACCAGAAAACUUCGAAUCGGAUGAUGCAAAGGAAAUGGUUUGUAAACUAAAGAAAUCCAUCUAUAGACUUAAACAGGCGUCUCGUCAAUGGUAUUACAAGUUUCAUCAAGUGAUCAUCUCAUUUGAUUUUUAGAAGAAUUUGGUCGAUAAUUGUAUAUACCACAAGUUUAGUGGAAAUAAGAAUAUUUUUCUAAUUUUAUAUGUCAAUAACAUAUUGCUUGCUAGCAAAAAUAUAGGCCUAUUGCACAAAACAAGAGAUUUCUAGAAAAAAAUUUGAGAUGAAAGAUUUUGGUGACGCCUCUUUUGUAGGAAUUCAGAAACACCGAGAUCGUUCUCGGGGUAUCCUUGAAUUAUCACAAAAGUACUAUAUCGAAAAGUUACUUAAAAUAUAUGGUAUGUAAGAUUGUAAACCAGGUGACACCUCUGUGGCUAAAGGAGACAAGUUCAGUUUAAGCCAGUGCCCUAAAAAUUACUUGGAAAUUAAAUGAAUCCAGAAGAUUCCUUAAUCUUCAGCUAUAGGAACUUUAUGUAUGCUCAGGUUUGUAAGCGUCCAAAUAUAGCAUACAUUGUUGGGAUCGUAGAGAGAUAUUUAGGUAAUCUGGGAAUGAAUCAUUGGAAAGCAGCCAAAUGGGUCAUGCGGUAUUUACAGAGAACAAAAGACUGUAUGCUCGCACACAGGAGAUCAGAUCAGUUGUAGAUCAUCGGUUAUUCUGAUUUCCAUUUUGCGGGAUGCCAAAAUAGUAGGAAAUUCACUUCAAGCUAUAUUUACCUGCUUGCUGGAGGUGCUAUUUCCUGAAAAAGUACUAAACAGACACUCAUAACUACUUUCGUCAUAGCAGUGGAGUUUAUAGCGUGUUAUGAGACUUCAAACCAUGGAAUAUGGUCAUGCAAUUUUGUCACUGGGUUGUGCAUUGUGGAUAGUAUAGAAAGAUGGCUCAAGUUAUUUUGUUUCAAUAAAUUAGCAGUGCUGUAUUCCAAUAACAACAGGAGCUCGACGAAGUCGAAAUAUAUAAAGAUUCAACUGUACAAAAAGAAAAUAAACCAAUAAAAGGAGAUUUCAAGCCAAACGGGACCUUGGACUUCUUAGAACUUAUACAUACAGACAUUUAUAGACCAUUCCCUACAAGUUCUUAGAAUGGUCAACAAUAUUUUAUAACAUUCAUAGAUGAUUAAAAGUAUCAGAUCUGAUCGUGAGGUGAAUACUAUGGCCGAUAUAACGGUUCAGGUGAAAAACGUCCUGAACCAUUUGCUAAAUUCCUAAAGGAUGUGAUAUCAUCCCAUAGUACACUAUAUCGGGUUUGAACACUAUAAAUGGUGUUGUUGAGAUACAAAAUAGAAUGCUUAAGGACAUGGUGACAAGUAUGAUUAGUCAUUCUACCUUAUCAGAAUCUCUCUAGGGUGAAGUAUUAAAGACCGGAGCGUAUAUACUCAACAGAGUUCUAACUAAGGCCACUGAUAAAACCUCUAAUGAGCUUUUGACGAGCAAGAGGCCUAGUUUGAAGCACAUAUAGAUUUGGGGAUGUCCAGUUGAGGUAAGGCCCUAUAAGCCAAAUGAAAAGAAAUUGGACGCAAGACCAUCAAUUGCUAUUUAAUUGGAUAUUCUAAAAGGUUCAGGGAUUACAAGUUUUAUGAUCCACAAUUAAGGCAAUUUUCGAGACAGAAAAUGCUCGAUUAUUUGAGGAUAUUGAAUUUGCAGGGGGAGAAAGGGUUGCAAGCUUUGUCUUUGAUGAGGACUAUGUUGAAAUUCCUUCAAUUACUAUUGACAAUGAUCAUAUUUCUAUCCCUGACAUUUUUUAAGAAGCAACUCAGGAUCAAGAUAAUGUCAUUGUAUCUAUCUCUCAAAGUCAACAAAUUGUUCCAAAAAAAAAAAAAACUUUACAACCUUAAGAACUGCAUAAGAAGAUCCAUUAGAGAGAGAAGAAGUGCGGUUUCAGAUGAUUACAUCCUAUUUCUCCUAGAACAUGAAGUUGACAUUGGAGUGGUGGAAGAUGAUUUGAUCAACCUCUGUUAAGCCAUGAAAAGUUCUAAUUCUCAAAGUGGCUCGAUGCCAUAAAUGAAGAGAUAAAGUCCAUGAAGGACAAUGAUGUAUGGGACCUCGUUCCAUUGCCUGAAAGUGCAAAUCCCGUUGGUUUCAAUUAGAUAUUUAAGAUCAAGAAGGAUUCGAAGGAUGAUGUAGAGAGGUAUAAGGCUAGUAUUGUAGCAAAGGGCCUUACACAGAAAGAAGACAUCCAUUAUAAAGAGACAUUCUCUCCGAUUUCUUCAAAACACUCGUUUGGGACUAUAAUGGCAUUGAUACCGCAUUUCGAUCUUGAGUUACAUCAAAUGGAUGUUAAGAUAGCGUUUUUCAGUACAUUUAUCAAACAAUUUAUAUGGUACAACCAGAAAACUUCGAAUCGGAUGAUGCAAAGGAAAUGGUUUGUAAACUAAAGAAAUCCAUUUAUGGGCUCAAAUAGGCGUCUCGUCAAUGGUAUUACAAGUUUCAUCAAGUGAUCAUCUCAUUUGAUUUUUAGAAGAAUUUGGUCGAUAAUUGUAUAUACCACAAGUUUAGUGGAAAUAAGAAUAUUUUUCUAAUUUUAUAUGUCAAUAACAUAUUGCUUGCUAGCAAAAAUAUAGGCCUAUUGCACAAAACAAGAGAUUUCUAGAAAAAAAUUUGAGAUGAAAGAUUUUGGUGACGCCUCUUUUGUAGGAAUUCAGAAACACCGAGAUCGUUCUCGGGGUAUCCUUGAAUUAUCACAAAAGUACUAUAUCGAAAAGUUACUUAAAAUAUAUGGUAUGUAAGAUUGUAAACCAGGUGACACCUCUGUGGCUAAAGGAGACAAGUUCAGUUUAAGCCAGUGCCCUAAAAAUUACUUGGAAAUUAAAUGAAUCCAGAAGAUUCCUUAAUCUUCAGCUAUAGGAACUUUAUGUAUGCUCAGGUUUGUAAGCGUCCAAAUAUAGCAUACAUUGUUGGGAUCGUAGAGAGAUAUUUAGGUAAUCUGGGAAUGAAUCAUUGGAAAGCAGCCAAAUGGGUCAUGCGGUAUUUACAGAGAACAAAAGACUGUAUGCUCGCACACAGGAGAUCAGAUCAGUUGUAGAUCAUCGGUUAUUCUGAUUUCCAUUUUGCGGGAUGCCAAAAUAGUAGGAAAUUCACUUCAAGCUAUAUUUACCUGCUUGCUGGAGGUGCUAUUUCCUGAAAAAGUACUAAACAGACACUCAUAACUACUUUCGUCAUAGCAGUGGAGUUUAUAGCGUGUUAUGAGACUUCAAACCAUGGAAUAUGGUCAUGCAAUUUUGUCACUGGGUUGUGCAUUGUGGAUAGUAUAGAAAGAUGGCUCAAGUUAUUUUGUUUCAAUAAAUUAGCAGUGCUGUAUUCCAAUAACAACAGGAGCUCGACGAAGUCGAAAUAUAUAAAGAUCAAGUUCCUGGCUGUUAAAGAAAAAGUUCAGAGUCGACAGGUGUUAAUAGAGCAUAUCGAGACAAACUCCGUAGUUGCGGAUCUGCUUACUAAGAGAUUGAUACCCAAGGUCUUUCAUGAGGACACUACUCGUAUGGGUGUAAUAUCUCUUGAGGAUGUCUAGUUUCAAUAGAAGUUUGUAUUUUUGCUAUUCAUAUUGGACACAUGUACUGUUAUUUUGGAUAUAGUUUUUGGUUAAAAUUAUUUUCAAUUAUAAAGUUUUUCUUUGAUUUAUUACCUCUGAACUUCUUUGAAAAUGAUCUCACUAAGGUAUUAAGGUGGACCAAUUGGAAAGUUAAGAUCACAUCAUAUGUAUUCAAUGCUACACAUCCAUACUUGAUCCAUGUCAUUCAGUUAUAUCAAUAUACAUGACCAUUGAUGGGUUUAGUUAUGAUGAAAGUAGCGAGAACCAUAUUGAUCCUAUGUUAAUUGAUUGAUGGACCAAAUUGUUUGAAGAUGCAUUCGGUAAUGAUAGUAAAAUUCUAAGUACUCAUAAGGUUAUGUUUAAUGCAUAAUUAUAAAGUGACACAUAUUAUCCAAGUGGAAGAUUGUAAGGAAUUUUAAUCAAUCACGUGGACUUAUAUGUGUAAAUUAUUGUAUAUUAAACUAAAGACUAUUAAAUUUGGUUAAGCCCAGUUUAAAUUGAUCUAAUAAGGUUUCAGUAUUUUGGGCUUUAAUGCAUCUAAUUUAAAGUAUGGGCUUUUAUGUGUAGAGUUCGGGCCAUUGUUCCUAAUUUCAUGAUGGGCCGGAUUAGGUUAAUGGGCAACCAGUAUAUAAACACAGUUAUGGUCUCCAAAUCCCAAGGAUUGCUCAUUUUAUCCUGCCGUCCAUCACAAGAGAGAAAAAAGGAAUUACUUGUUGAUUUGGAAGCAUAAUCGUAGGAUUCAAUCAUUGCGAUUAACAAUGUUUGAUUCAGAUACACUUCCGCUUUAGUUUAUGUGUUCUUGAUGAUCCAACAUGAUAAAUAUGACCAUUUUACGGUAACAAUUUUUCCUACAAUAAAAAUGCAAUGAACCUGAAACGGCUGUUUGUUGUUAAAAAUUUAAUAUAGUACCAUUUCAUUGGGUCUUGAUUAGGAUUGAUUUUAGAGCCCAACUUCUAAUUGUUUUAUAGUCAAAAUUAUUAUUUUUAUUUAAUAAACAUAAAAAAAAAACUUAUUAUAAAAGAAUUUGUGCCAAUCCGACAACAGAUUUCGAGUAGUAAUAGUUUUUCAGAUACUGCUUUUAGUAUUUUCCUAUCAUGGAUGAUUAAAAUUAUACCUAUUCUAAACUUUAUUAGUUAAACAUAUUGCUUUUUAGUCAUAAAUUUAUCGAUAUUUCAACAAUAAUGUAUAAUUCUAUCAUUUAAAUUUAUUUGAAUAUUUUUUAUACUAACGAAUUAUGCUUUUUUUUUUUUUGUAAUUUUUUAAACUUUGAGAUUUAUUUAAUUUUUUUCUUCAUUUUAUAAUAACCGUGCUUUGGAUAUUUUUUUUUUUUUGAAAAAAACCAUAUAAUUAUAUAUCAUUAUAAAAGUUUAAAUAAAUUUUAAAAUACUACAAAUGAUAACAAUAUUAAAAUGACAUUAUUAUAAUCUAUGUCCUUUAUGGUAUUUAACAAAUACGUAACUGAUUAUUCUCACAUAUUUUUUCUUGAACACAACAAAAGUAGAUUCUCUUAAAAGCAUGGUCAUGUCAUCCCAAGCUCUCCACCAAUGCAAAAAUAGAUAAACAUUUUCUUUGAUGAGGUGAUUUUCACAAUCCCUGACUACUAAUAAUGCCACAUUUUUCAUAUCGCCACUACUGCCUAUUAACAAUCUAUCUUGACUACUAUGUCCUUCUUUGGCUUGUCUAAUGCUUCAACUAUAAAGUUUGUCAAUGUCAUAAAUGGUUAAACCCGCAAUUUUAUUCUUGUACUGUGUGGCUAGAUUAUAAUGAUUUUUUCUAUUUGAAGCAACAUAAAAAUUAAACAAAACAUAAGUCUGAAACUGUGUCAUCUAUUGUGCUUGAUAUUUGUAUAUAUAUGUUAAAUAAAAUGAUGUAUAAAAUUAUAUUUCUUUAACUAAAAUCAUGUGCAUGUAAAUACGAUAAAAUCGUAACUUAAUAGUGCAAAUUAUUGAAUAGAGUUACGACUUAUCAAAAUAAUGAUACGUGUAUAAUAAUGAUUAAAUCACCACUUACUAAAACAUAAAAUUAGAAGGAUAUAAUAUGAAACAGUGCAUGCGAUUGCAAAUUUCCUUAAGACAGAUUUCUCCUCCGGCAUUACUACUAACAGAAUUAAAUGGAUGUCUCCCAAUAUACAAUUUUUACUACAAAAUUAGUGUGGCAAAAUAAUAAAUUUGCCUUACUAACGAAAACAUGAAUGUGCUCUUCAAGACUAGAUGAUAUCGAAUAUUAAAAUAUUGAACACAAAACUCGAAAAUAAUUUGAAAAUUAUUUUGAGAAGGAAUCUUUUAAAAAUUGAUUUGGAGUAAAGAAAAUAAAACUAGGAGAAUCCAAUUUAUAGAUUUCAAUAUAUCUUUUUCAAAAUGAUAGCCUUUUUUUGGUACAAAAUUCAUUUGGAUUAUCACGUGGUAGCCAGCAACAAGUCAUUUCAGUCCUUCACUUCACUCACCGGUCUACAUGGUCUCAUUGAGGCCGUCAAAUUGGGGAAGUCAAAGUGAUGCAUCACCUAAUCGAAGUGUCACGUCGAGGUCAAACCUCCAUGGUCGAGGUAAGGUGUCACGAUCUGUUAUUGCCUAUUAUCAAAGCGACAGGUUUUUGAAUGCACAAAUGCAUCUUUGUUCCUUUGCUUCUUUCAAGAGAUCUUAUGUACAAGAUCUUCUGUAAUUGAUUAACAUGACCUCUCGGUAACAGACACCUCUCAAUCAUCUUGUCAAUCUACAUUCAGAUGUCAAACCUAGACGAUAGAUAGGUGACCACUUUAAAAAAUCAUUAAAUGUCCUUUGAACUUAGGACUGCGAGGUGAUACAUAAGAGAUGAUGCAUUGAUUGUUAACAUGAGGUCACUUAUCUUUCAUCCAAUAAUAAUCCCUUCAAACUCUCUCACUAUAAAAUUUCACACUUAAUGUUAUGUGAACAUAAUGCAACUUUACACUUUCAGUAGUAAUAUUGUUCGUCAUUAUUGUUUCCUCUCCACAACCCAUUACCCGUACACAUUUUUGUGGCUCACGUCUCCCGUUCAUCCACACAAAAAAAUAUGUAAGUUGAGUGACUUGAUCGUUGAUACUCACAGCAGCCUCCUUACCAUUGGAGGACAUGUGCUUCUAACAAUUUGUACAAUUGUGUCGGAGUCGUGUGUGGACAUGAGUAGAGCUAGAAUCUAUUAACAACGUCAUCGAUCAAAAACCAAGGUGAACAACAGUAUAAUGCUAAGGAAAACUAAGGUUGCAAUUCUUUUGAGUGUGGAUAAACUACAACUAACAUAGCUCUUGUGUGACUUCAACGUGUGACUCAAUUGCUUCCAUGAAGCCGCAGUAUGUUACCUAUCAGUGGAAAAAGAGAUUUAUUUGUAUCUCAUAAAAUUAGAGAAUAACAAUUUAUCCGUUGAUUUAUGAUCACUUAUUUGAGAAUCAAAUAUCUCGUUUGUUGACUUUAUCGUUAAGAAAAUUGAUAUAAAAAAAAAUGUCUAUCAACGAUGACUUUUUUUUUCUUUUCCCCAAAAUAUCCUAACCUACAUUAUCUCUCGCCACCUUAAACGUGAUACAUACAAAUUUUACCUGUUUACUAAUUUUAAUGUAAAAAAACUAGGAAAUUGACACAAGUACCACUAAAUUGGGCAAGUUAUCAAUUAUGGCACUUUAUUAAGUUGACUAAAUUGAUAUUUGUGUGUACAAAUUUUGCACAUAAUUUUGCCUUCAUGUCUUCCAGUGACAAUGUGCUAUAUAAUCAUAAGCAAGAGCAUAAUCAAAGCCAACAAUAACACACUUAAAAAUACUAAAUAACACAUAGACCACGAAAAAAUAACUAGCAUAUAAUCUGAAUCUAACCCUUGUGGUGGCUAGUCACCUAAUGUUCAAAGGUUGAGUUUUUUUCUAUCUCGACUUAGUGGUACUUGAAUAAACUAGAACUUCUUCCUCUGAACGAAGUAUUGCUUGUCAACAUUCCCAUCAGCCAUCAAUUUUGUGGGAUGUAAAACAUGUCAACUCUAGUCCCAAAGCAUUUGGUUCAGAAGAAAAUGUUACUUCCCAGAGCAGAGUGAAUCUCUGAGUCCUCACUCAAUUGUGAUCCAUUAGCAUUCCUCAUUGGACCAUUAAAAGAGAUGUCUAUACUAGGGCCAUGUAAAACUCUCAAAUCGAAUUGGAUCAAAAUGAAUUGAGCAUUUCGGUUAAAUUUUGUUUAAGUUAAAUACACGAACGGGUAUCAGAAUCGUGAACUAAUGAGUUUGGCUCGGUUCUCGAUCAGGGGUGAAUCCAGGGUCUUAGUUCAAUUAGGGCAGACCCGAACGUUGAACGUUAACUGUCAACAGUCAGCAUCCGUGAUGGGCGAAUCAUUUAUUAAUAUUCAAUUAAAUAGUAUUCAAAAAAUCGUACGGACUAGAACUAGAUACAACACUAGAACUGGAACUAUGUACAAACUUUCAUUUCGAAUGAAAAAAUAGUUCCAUAAUCUGCAAAAUUGCCUUUAUUUAUUUUUCAAUUAAACAAGCAAUAUAUGUUAACAAAAUGUCAAUAUUCAGUUUAUAAUUAAAGUUAAUUAACAAGUAUUAUUAAUUUAUUAUAUUAACAAAGUUCAAAUUAUUUAUAAUCUUCCAAAUCUAAUGAACUAGCAAUAACUUAACACGAACUAGAACUAGAAGGUAGGGAUUUCAUCUUGAAUUAUUGAUCACAAAUCAUAGUCAUAACUCAUAAAACAUAAAACAUAAAACAUAACUAGUAAAACACAAGUCAUAGAUUCAGAGCUCAAAAAUAAAACAUAAAUCAAAAAAAUGAAUUAAAAGGACAAAAAACAAAAACAAAACAAACAAACAAACAAACAAAAAAGUGAAAGAGAAGAGAGGGCUCACAAGUCACAUGCGUGAGCGGCACUCAGGCAGACUCUGUUGAGGCAAGAGUAGCCCAUUCUUAUUUCCUGAAGAAGAUAUUAUUAUACAAAAAAGUAAGUUUACAGGUUUGCAUAAUUUGCAUUAAUCCAAGGCAGACACAUGGAAAUCGAAAAAAUGAGCCAUUAGAACUUAGAAGUUUCUCACCAGCACAUAGGCGUCCUCUUUCUAAUGCCACCAAUUGAGGUUUUGAGCACCGAAAUAACUAAUAACAUCUGCAGCCAACAUUAGGGAGAAGGAGAGUAGUUACAGAAGGGUUUGCUACGAUUAUUGCCUCUGAUUUGGAGGUGUGAUUGCAGUUAUGUGUAUACAUCCAUCAAUCAACAUCCAUGGUUUGGGUCUAAUUUUUUUUCAAACAAAGAGGCCCAACUCGUCUGCCCAAAGAAAAAGGCCUAAACUAAAAAAAAAAGGACCCAAAUUCAAAUUUUCAUCUUCCUCCUUCGGUCCUCCCUUCUUCAGUUCAGUUGCGGCUCUGCAACUUCCAAUCUUCCACCUGGCGGCUAGCGAAGACUCCGACGGAUCCAGUUAGGGAGGCCGCCUAAGCUUGUCACUACCUGGAUCCACCAAUGUUUUCGAUUCUAGACGAAGAAUUGAAUAAUUGAAUCUUCCUAUAUUUUUUUAUAUUAAGCCCCUAUUUGGUACUAAAUAAAAUAUAGAUUUUAAUCUAAUUUAAAGCCAACCAUUCAUUUCUACAACAUAUUUCAUGGGUCUCAUAACCUUUCAACCAUACAUUUCAUCAACUUCUAUCGAAAUAUACUAAAAAUUCGAUUUUAAUUGCUACCAAAUAGGGGCUAAAUAAGUUAAACUAUUUUAUUUAUUUAUUUAUUUUUGUAAAUAAAUUUGCCAAUUAAUUAAUCGAGCUUAAAGUAUCAUUUUCGUGUUUUCAGCCCAAGCCCAACUUUGUAAUUCAAAUUUCAAAGAAUCAAAAUUGAGUUUCUUAAGUUUUUCUAAAUUAUCUUGCUAUUCUCAAAUAAUUGAAGUUGAGCGGUUGCACCUCUUUUUAUCUUAUGAUUUUUCAACCCCAUUUAUUGAAUUUUCUCCACUUUGAUCAAGGUAAGCUAAUCUUCUUCUCAUUUCUUUCUAAUAAUUUCUUACGAUUCAAUUUAUAAAUACUAUAAUUUAUAAUUAGUAUUCAAGAUAUUUAUUGUGAGCUCGCGCAUUUGUGUGUUUUCCUUUAUUUCAGUAGUUACCUUCUUUUCUAAUAAUUUCUCAUGCUUCGUUAUAUAAACAUUAUGAUUUAUAACUAGUGUUCAAGAUAUUUAUUGUUAUUUGUAUAUUUUUAAAUUGGACUACGUUAUUUUCUAAGAGUUAUUGUAGUGUUGCUGUAAGAAUUCAGAUUGAACAUGUCAUUAGUUGGAUUAAUGUAAUAUUGUUGUAAAUGUAAUAAAAAAAUUAAUUAUGGUACGGAACCAAAUCGAAUUCAAAUGGAGGCGAACCAGUAUGGUUCCACUUAUUAAAUACUCGAAAAUUCUGAUUCGAUUAAAUGACACAAAGAUGUAUUUAUUUCAAUUAAGAAUUUCAUGGAAGAAUUUUCUGAAUAUGAAUGCACAAAAUUAACAGCAGAAAAAGUAUAUAAAAACGUAGUACACCCAAGCUCAACAAAGCAAAAGGUGAAAACUUCUGCAUCUUUUGUACUUGGUUUAGUUAAGUUCAGGAAACUUGAAUGUUCAAAGAUAUUAUUUUAGACCAGUCCCGGAGAGGAGGAGGAUUGUGGUUGAUUAAUGGCUAACCAGUGUAAGCUUUGUCAAAUCUCAUGAUAUUGAAUCCCAAUAAACCAAUCAUGGGGAUGUCAAUCAACGAGUUAACAUAAAGACGUUCACCUAAUUGACCCAAAUUUUUUUAAUUAAAAAGACUUAAAUCAAAUGUAAACACCAACCCAAGUAUGGUAAACAUAGUCUCUACAUCCUUGUAUGGAAACCAAUCUUUCAUGGGUGGAAACAUUACGUUUGUGUUUUACACUCUGAUACACAUCAGUUCUUUUAAUUAAAAAAUAAAUAAAUGAAUAGGGAAGCAACUCAUUUUAGUAAAAAUGUUAGGACAAAUAUUUGGUGCGCAGCAAAAGAAGUCUCAAAAAGUUUAUUAAGGCUUGGCAUCAAAAUUAAGUUCAAUAUUACAUGUCUGAUCAUAUAUUUAGAAAAGCGGUAAGUUACUAGUUUGUUAGCUAAAGUAGGGGAGGGUAGUUUUAUUUCACUCUGCCAGAAAUCAUGGGUGAAAAAUUGGGAGAUAACUGAGAACUUAGCUUUCAAGAGGCUUAGCUCUGUCCCCAUUUUAAUCCUUAAUUUCUGCCUGAGAGAACUGAAGCUACACCCACCCUGCCCCGCUUCAUUUAUAAUGAGAAGCCUAUACAAUUCAUUCUAGUAAAUUCCUAUAAUACCCUUCCCCUACUAUAGCUAACCAACUAGUAACCUAUCAAAAAUCAGCCAGAUAACAUUCUUUUAAAUAUGGCCAAAUAACGGGGGAAAAACAAGAUAAAACAUAAAAAGGGAUGGCAUGAUCAGCAACUAAAUGAAGCAACUGAUGAGGAAUCCAAGGCCCUCAGCCUCCUUAACCAACUUGCACGGUGGCGAAGUAGCGAUAUUGUUGGGAAAACACCUCCCAAAGAUAGCCCAAAGAUCAAACAAAGUUGGCAAAAUGAAAAUUUCCAAACCACUUGAAGAACAAGAAAAUGGGGAAGAAAUGAUUUCAAUGGAAUAUAUGAAGAACAAUGGAUUGGAUUACUUGAACAAGGCUCAAGUUAAUCCCCAAAAAAAGAAAAUAGCUUUGAAUUUAUACCCAAAAAGAACAACCUCUUACUUUUUAAAUUCAAUCCAAGCUCUCUCACUUUUCUCUCCAAAAAACGGGUGUUCAAUGAAGGGGAAAAACACCAGCUAUAUAUAGAAUGAAUCAGGCGCCAUGGCGCCAAGAUUGAUCAGAACCAUGGGCGCCAUGGCGCCAGCAUCACUCGACCAUUUUUUUACACUUUGGGCGCCAUGGCGCCCAAUCUUCAAAAAAAAAAUUGUGAGAAAUAGUGCAGGGAGUCAGGCGUCAUGGCGCCCAAAGUGUAAAAAAAUGGUCCAGUGAUUCUGGCACCAUGGCGCCAAGAUUGAUCAGAACCAUGGGCGCCAUGGCGCCAGCAUCACUGGACCAUUUUUUUACACUUUGGGCGCCAUGGCGCCCAAUCUUGGCGCCAUGGCGCCUGACUCCCUGUACUAUUUCUCACAAUUCUCCAACUCGUACAUCAUUUGAUAGACCUCAAAUUUUGGAUGAACACAAGAAGAAGCAGCAAGCGCCAAACUCGGCUGCACCAUUCAAACCAUGGUUGCCUACGUACCCAAAACUCGGGAUCAAGCCUCCGUAGUUCACCUCCACCUUCAUAAACUCUCCACCUCAUUUCAACCCCACCCCGAAGGGCCAUGCCCACUCGGGCAUAUCAACACGGACUAAUUUGAAGCAAGUCCAAGCAAUGUUGAAAUUUGCUACCCGUUACCACUUUGGUUAACAUGUCAGCUGUGUUCUCAUUUGUGUGUACCUUCGAGAGUGAAAUAUCAGCUUCCUCUAUAACAUCACGCACAAAAUGAUACUUGACGUCAAUAUGCUUGGUUCGAGCAUGAUGAACCUGAUUCUUAGCCAAGUGAAUCGCACUCUGGCUAUCACACCACAAGUCCACACAAUCCUGCUCAAUCCCCAAAUCAUCUAGAAGACCCCAUAACCACAAUGCUUCCUUCACUCCCUCUGCCAUGGCCAUAUACUCGGCCUCUGUAGUAGAAAGAGCAACUGUAGCCUGUAACAUCGAUCGCCAACUAACUGGGGCACCAUGUAUGCAAAAUACAUAUCCAGUAGUAGAUCGUCGUCUAUCUAGAUCACCCGCAUAAUCCGAGUCCACAAACCCACUUAUAUGACAUGCAUCUCCACCAAAACAUAAACCCGUAUCCGCGGUAUCUUUCAAGUACCUCACGAUCCACUUCACAGCUUCCCAGUGCGCCUUCCCCGAAUUCGCCAUGAAUCUACUGAUCACACUCACCGCCUGUGAAAUAUCUGGGCGUGUACACAUCAUGGCAUACAUCAAACUACCAACUGCACUAGCAUAAGGCAUACGAUCCAUGCGUACCUUUUCUUCCGCUGUAGUAGGAGACUGUUUACCAGAGAGCCUAAAAUGUGGAGCUAAUGGAGUCACCACCGACUUUGCACCUUGCAACCCGAACCUAGCAAUAACCCACUCAAUGUAGCCUUUCUGACUCAAGAACAUUCGCCAGUUCAUCCUCUCUCUUCUGAUCUCCAUACCCAAUAUUUUCUUAGCAGCUCCCAUAUCCUUCAUCUCAAACUCUUUACCAAGUUGAGAUUUCAACUUAUCUAUCUCCACCUUGCUUUUCGAAGCGAUAAGCAUGUCAUUCACAUAUAGAAGAAGAUAGAUAUAGUUACCUCCCCGAAGUUUCCGAAUAUAAACACAGCAGUCAUACUCACUUCUGGAGAAACCAUGCUUUAGCAUGAAGGAGUCAAAUCGCUUGUACCACUGCCGAGGAGAUUGCUUCAAUCCAUAUAGUGAUUUUCUCAAGCGACAUACCUGACGUUCCUUAUCCUCAACCUUGUAGCCAUCAGGUUGAUGCAUAUAGAUCUCCUCAUCCAAGUCCCCGUGCAAGAAGGCGGUUUUGACAUCGAGUUGUUCCAGCUCAAGAUCAUGAUGAGCAAUAAUACUCAAUAGCACCCGAAUGGAAGUGUGCUUGACCACAGCAGAAAAGAUCUCAUUGUAGUCAACUCCCUCUCUUUGUGUAAACCCCUUAGCCACUAACCUCACUUUGAAUCUUGUGCCACCGAGUUUGGUAGGAUCCUCCUUCUUUUUAUACAACCACUUGCAACCAAUAACUUUCUUGCCUAUGGGCAAUGGGACAACCCCCCAUGUUUGGUUCUUGUGAAGUGAUUCCAUCUCUUCUUCCAUUGCUGCCAACCAACUCUCGCUAUUAUUGUUUAAAAUAGCUUCCUUGAAAGUGGUAGGCUCAUCAUCCUCCACCGAGAGUGCAUACUCAACCAAAUUUGUCUGCCCAUAGUGCCUCAAAAGCUCGUCUGACCCCAACUUUAGAAUUUGCUUGUAAGUACGGCGUGGCCUAGAGGAAGCCAAGUUAUCUGCAAGUUGCUGCUGUUGCUGUGCCUGUACAUUCUCUUGCUGAAUCGCCUCUUGUUCAAGUGCAUCAUCACUCUCAUCUUGAGUGUCUGUUUGAAGCUCCUCUUGAACAUGCCUAGAAUCAGGUUGAUCUCUAGGUUCUAUGUCAACAACUUGAGAUAUUGUAGUCUCAACAUCAUCACCACCGGGCACUGUAGCUUUCAACGAAGCUACCAUGGAGUUCUCAUCAAAAGUAACAUCUCUGCUGAUUAUGAACUUAGAAUCCUCUAAACACCAAAGGUAAUAGCUUUUAACACCUACCGCAUACCCUAAGAAUAUAGCCUUCUUAGCCCUCGCAUCAAGCUUUCCCUCGUUGACAUGAUAGUAGGCUGUGCAUCCGAAUGUUCUGAGUUUCUCAUAAUCUGCAUGUUCUCCUGUCAAUACCCUAUAAGGUACAUCUCCAUCUAACCUUGAAUGUGGAGAUCGGUUCACAAUGUAGCACGCAUUUGCAACCGACUCUGCCCACCAUUCUCUGCCCAAACCAGCAUAGGAUCGCAUACACAUCGAUUUCUCUCGAAAUGUGCGAUUCAGUCUUUCCGCGACCCCAUUCUAUUGCGGUGUAUUUCUUACUGUCCAAUGUCUCACAAUGCCUUUCUUACCACAGAACUCCUUGAAAGCACCAUCUGUAUACUCAGUACCGUUAUCAGAUCUCAGUGUCUUCAAUUUCUUUCCUGUUCUGUUUUCAACCAUUGCUUUCCACUUCUUGAAGGUGUCGAAUACCUCAUUCUUAUGCUUCAAAAAAUAAAUCUAAGCAUAUCUAGAAUAAUCAUCAACAAAUGUAACAAAAUACCUGGAACCGCCUUUGGAAGUGACAGAAGCCGGACCCCAUACAUCCGUGUGCACAUAAUCAAGAAUGCCUCUGCUUCUAUGUUUGCUUGGCUGGAACUGAACUCGGUGUGCUUUACCGUACACGCAAUGCUCNNNNNNNNNNNNNNNNNNNNNNNNNNNNNNNNNNNNNNNNNNNNNNNNNNNNNNNNNNNNNNNNNNNNNNNNNNNNNNNNNNNNNNNNNNNNNNNNNNNNNNNNNNNNNNNNNNNNNAAUCAAAGAACCACGAACAACUUUCUUUACUCCAUUCCAUGUUACAAUCUUGCAACCACCGGAGUCUAAAGCACCAACAGAGAUGAGGUUCUUUCGCAAAUCAGGAACAUGUCUAACAUCCAUCAAUGUUCUAACCACUCCAUCAUGCAUCUUGAUUCUAAUUGAACCAAGCCCCACCAUUUUACAUGAAUGGUUAUUACCCAUCAACACAGUUCCACCAUCAGUGCUUCUAUAGGUAGUAAACCACUUCCUAUUUGGACACAUAUGAUAAGAGCAUCCGGAGUCAAGAAUCCACUUACCGGAGGUCUCUUCAUCACAAGAGAUGGUGUAGCACUCAUCGCUUUCCCCUCCUUCCGAGGCAUAGCUUACCUCUUGCUUGACUUGCACCUUCCCNNNNNNNNNNNNNNNNNNNNNNNNNNNNNNNNNNNNNNNNNNNNNCUACCCCUUACAAAUAAUCCUUGAGCUUGCUCCUUGUUACCAAUGGUAGACAUGCCACUAGUUGCAAUCUUUCGAAGAUCAUCCGCUAGAAGUGAUGUUCUAGUGUCCUCCAUCACAAGUUUAUCACCCACAAGCAUCAAUGUUUGUACUAGGUUCUCGUAAGACUUUGGCAAUGAAAGAAGUAGUAGAAGUGCUUGAUCCUCAUCAUCUACAUCCACAUCAAUGUCCUUCAAGUCCAAUAUGAUCCUAUCAAACUUGUUGACGUACUCCCGGAUUGGUGUACCUUCAUCCAUCUUGCAAGUAUACAAUUUGGACUUCAAGUAGAUCCGAUUUGUUAGAGUCUUCGUCAUGAAGUUCGCCUCCAACUUUGUCCACACCUCCGCCGCCGUUACCUCACUACCAACCAAGAAAGCAACAUCUCUUUCAAGGCAAAGAAUGAUAGACGCUCGUGCCUCAAGAUCUAGCUCUUCCCAAUCCUCGUCUGACAUAUCAACGUGCUUCUUCUCCUUUCCCACUAAUGCCUUGUGCAACUUUUGAGAAAUCAACAAAUUUUUCAUUUGCAUUCUCCAAUAUGAAAAAUCAUUCUUCCCAUUGAAUUUCUCUAUCUCAUACUUCCCAAUCUUCACCAUUCCUCUAGUAGACAUGAUUUAUUCACUUGUUUACCGAAAAUAAACCACAAAAGUUCACUUGGAAAUUUUUACAAACACCUUGUGCACAACAAAGUUCAAGCAACUCACCACAAAAUCGAAGUUUAACCACCUUGAUUUAGGAAGAAGCUCUGAUACCAAAUUGUUGGGAAAACACCUCCCAAUGAUAGCCCAAAGAUCAAACAAAGUUGGCAAAGUGAAAAUUUCCAAACCACUUGAAGAACAAGAAAAUGGGGAAGAAAUGAUUUCAAUGGAAUAUAUGAAGAACAAUGGAUUGGAUUACUUGAACAAGCCUCAAGUUAAUCCCCAAGAAAAGAAAAUAGUUUUGAAUUUAUACACAAGAAGAACAAUCUCUUACUUGUUAAAUUCAAUCCAAGCUCUCUCACUUUUCUCUCCAAAAAACGGGUGUUCAAUGAAGGGGAAAAACACCAGCUAUAUAUAGAAUGAAUCGGGCGCCAUGGCGCCAAGAUUGAUCAGAACCAUGGGUGCCAUGGCGCCAGCAUCACUGGACCUGACUCCCUGCACUAUUUCUCACAGAUAUCGACUCUGAGCUUUUUCGUUUCAGCAAUGACAGAUUCUGUGUUUUCAGCCAUAUCUAACUGUAGAAGCUCUAGAAUUCAGAAUGUUAAUUUUAGGGGACUUAGCUACCAAAUAUAUAGAACACUAAUUGAUCCCAUUACUACGCAUGGGCCUCCAAGCCAUGCUUGCGCAAGUCCCCGAGUUUUACGACCCCAGACCAAAAUGUCUCUACAAUGCAUAGGCAUGGCUAACAGCCAUGCAUACACAUGGCUCUAAUAUGGGUCCAACAGGCUAGUUUCCCUUUUUUAUUCCAACCCUUUAUAGUAUCAAUUCCUAGCCAUUAUUUAACCUAAUUGAGGUCGCCAAGAACGAACCACAUCAUAUUUUAACACCUACAAGAAGACUAGUAAGAGGAUUGAAGGCAAAUGACACAAGGACUUGUAAAUGCAAGGCUCAAAUUCAAGAUAGAAGUUGGAGAAAUUGAUUUAUUAAGUUUCUUCCUCUAUUCUUUACUUUGAGUGAUAUCUUUUUAUAUCUUUUUGUGUAAAAUAUAUAAAAGUAUGCCAGAGUAAAUUCUAUAUUGUAUUGGAUAAAAAUCUGACCAUUGUUUAUUUAUUUCUAAUUCAAAGACAAGUAGUUUAGUUUUCCUUGUGUUUUUUGACUGAUCUUGCAUGUAUAUGCUAUUAUAUGAUUUAUUGAUUACCUAUUAACUAAUUAGUUCAAUACACUCAUUCCAUAAAUUCCAUACGAACCAUGCAUUUUACAUAACUCAUAGAAUAAAUUAGUAUAAUUAAAAAAUAACAUUUUUUUUUUUUUUUGGUAACAUACUUGAAUUUGAUACAAAACUAAUACAAUUCGAUUUACAGUUUAUUACUCGUAAGAUGAUACUAUUAACUCACUAAUUUAUCACUUGUUAAUGAUCUCGUACUCUUACAAAAUUUAUUCGAACAGUUGAUAAUAAAAAACUUGAAGCUAAAGGUUCACGUAUUUUGAAAGUAAAGAAGCUUGAUGGAGCAAUGUGGUUAUUGACACGUCUUAUGUAUGUUCCAAGGUGGGUGUUAAAUUUGAUACUGUUGGGAGCACUGGACAUGUUGGAUUAUGAGCACUGUGGAUGUGCUGGUAUGAUAAACAAGGAGAAAAAUUACGUGGCACCAAUGAGAGGCAAAAUGGUUCUAAUUAAUAGCUAAUAGGGAAGACAAUUUUAGGCAAAGCUUUUCGCGUUUAAGUCACACCGAUUAGAGUCUUCUAUUAUUAUCAAUAAUUUGGUAGUGUCAAAACUGGUUCUAUGACUAAUGACGAGAAAAAUGAAAAUCAAAGUUCGGAGAUAUGAAAUCAUAGUCACCUUUUAUUGGACUUUGAAUUCGACUCAAGUCUGCAAGAAUUAAUUGGGCAACUAUGCCACCUACAAGUAAAGAGGCACGAAGAUGGUAUGAAGAAGGGUUAUGAUUUGAAGGAACUUGAUAAAGCUGGAAAUUAUUGAAAUUGAAUCAACUAAUUUGUUAAGGACCAUCUUGGCAAUUUUCAAUAAAUCCCUUGUUUAGAGCACAUUUCUUUGGAAAAGUGUUUUGACAUUAUUUCGAUCAUACAUUCUUCAAUAAAAUAAUAAUACACACAAAUUCAAAACUUAUUUUAAUCACACAUUUUCCAUCAAUACACUAUUCAAAAAUGCAUUUUUUUUCUCACCAAAAUUGUCAAACAUGGGCAAAAAGCCAUAUUACGACAGGGUAAUUAUUUCCUUUAUUUAACCCUUAUCUAUGAACAGAUCAUAGGGCAUCCAUGGGCGUGGAUGAAUAAAGAGCUACUUCAAUCGAAUUUGAUGUAAGAGAUGAAUAGCCAAGGUGGGCGCAUGAGAAAGAGAGAGAAGCUAAAAAAAAUAAAAGUCUAUAUAUACACGAACGUUUUAGGUUGUAGAAGUUUCGAAAUAAAUAAAGACAUUAAUGUAUCGUAACAAUUUUCAACUAAUAAAGUCUUCUUUUCCUAUAAUUGUAGACUGUUUAUUGGCCUACGUUAAAUUUAUAUAUUUCUGUGUAUUUUACAUUUGGUGAAUUUUUUUCCCAACAACUAGUUUUUAUAUAAAUGAUAACAUUUUUCUUUUCACUUUAACUUGUACCUAGCUAUAAUCAUAGUCCAUCAAGAGGAAAAGAUAGGUCAAUCAAUGUAGAAAGAAAUCACAUCUCAACUUCACCACAUAACGAUUGAUUAUAACUCAAGAAUCGCAAACCGUCAUGAUUAAUAUUAAAUUCCAUUUUGGUGAAAAUUAAAAUCACAUUUUUUGAAAAAUUUAAUUAAAGUUGAAAUAUGACUAUGGCGGGAGCACUUCCUCCUCCGGCUCCUUCCGACCCAUCAAGCUCAUCCUCGUGGACGGAGGAUUCAUUCGAGAAUCAGGAUCUCAGUUGGAAAGGGAGAGACGGGUACAAUAUACGGAAUAAACUGGUACAACGAGUCUAGCUGAACCACUCAGAUCAGCUUCUUUCGCCCCUCCAACAAGAAAAGGUAUAAAUAUGGAAACUUCUCUGCCAUUUGGAUCGGAGAAAUUGAGAGUUUUAUAAAAUAUAUGGUUGAAAUUAAUUAUUAAUUUUGACUUAAAUUAAAAUCUGAGAUUUUCCUACCAAACGGGCUAAAAACUGAGAAUUAGACCACAAGGCAUCGUCCACGUAGAGGUAGAACCGAAUGUAUACAUCCCGAGUUCUCAAGAAAUACAUACACAAAAAACCUAAUGAAAUCUUUAAAAAAGAGAAGAUCCAAAUCCUGAAAAUGCUUACAAUAGCCAAACUGACUUGCCUUCAUUUAAGUAUGCAAUGGAAAUAUUUAUAAAUCUUCCAUCGCAUCACUUAGAAAGAUACGAUCCCACUAGUCUAACUGUGAGGGAGAACGUGGAACCUCACAGAAUGACUUCCAGGAACACACAUAUUUGUCACAUGUUUCCUUCUCAAGAUAACAUGUCCAGAGUUUAUUAGUAGAAUGUGGCAUUACCAAAGGAUGGGGGGAUGGGGCUUCGAUGGCAAUCUCCGGGCAUGUCUCAGAUCGGAAGUGUUCAAAUCCGGAAGUUUGAGAGCCAUUAUAUGACAUGCACCCCUCAGAAUCUGGCUUGUCAUCAACCUACAAUACAAAUGAUAAUCUCAUUGCUAUAACAUUUGUAGAUCUUCUAAAAGUGUUUGGCUAUUCCUUUUGCAAAUUAGAUUUAAAUAAUGAUGAUGAUGAUAAUAACAAUGCAACUAAAACCCAAUUCUAUAUUGCUAGCAGUGUGAUGAUCGUGUUUGGCAAAGCUUGACAUAAGUAAAAAUUACAUUUAAGUAAAUAUUUGUUAUUAAACGUGUUAGGAUAAGUUACUUUUCGUCCAUUAUAGUGCUUGUUAUAUGAAGUUCAUAAUGGAGCAAGCGUGACCAAAUCUAAACAUCAAAACCACAAAAAAUAUACAUUGAGAAAAAAGAUCCAUACAAGUCAAGUUUAGGUUUUUAGCUUGAAUCACAAGGAUUGAGAGUACAUAGUUUCACUAAGAAAGCAUUUAUAGUUACACAAAACCAUAUAUAAAUUGCCAAAAAAUAAUAAUAAUAAUAAAUUAAUUAAUAAAUAAAAAAAUUUGCUAAACCACAAGCAUUAUAUCAAGUGCAGUACUGGUUUCAAACUUUGACAAUACUCAUUUAUGAAAAUUGUGCAUGUACCGAAAUUUGCAAAAAAAAUAUAAAUUUGUCUGCAACCCACGGUCAAUAAAUUUUCACAAUCAGACCAAAAUUACACAAUUUUAAGCACAUAUUUACAAAAAGUUAGCAGGCAAACAAAAAUUGAUUCAAUAUAAACGCACAGACUGCAUUAAGCACAUACAAGAAGAAAGAAAGAGGGGAUCCUGGUUGGUCAUCCCAGCAAAGGCUGUUCAAUUUCUUCAUUUUCCACUCAUCUUGCCACGAAUAGCCCAAAUAUU